RNAcentral lists this long non-coding RNA (246 nucleotides) under Ricinus communis (castor bean). RNAcentral describes it as "long non-coding RNA (RCOM_LNC003609)". Lineage: Eukaryota; Viridiplantae; Streptophyta; Magnoliopsida; Malpighiales; Euphorbiaceae. The record is from RNAcentral.
UUUAACACACCAUAAAAAAGAAACAAGGCUAAAAGAGAGUACAAAACUUGCAACAAAGACCAAGAUUAUCCAAAAGCAUAUUAAACAUCAAAAAAACAUACAUAAAAACAAACAUGUCUCCCAUUUGCACAAGAAGCAUAAAAAUACUAAAGUAAAGACAUGGGAAGGAAAUCAUUCUUGGGGAGGAGAAGGAGGGGGAUGGUACUGUGAACACCUACUCCCGACACUCUGGAAGAGUCGGACACU